AAUUCUGAUAUACGCGAUUUUAAAUUCUCGAAUUUUUCAGCGAAAUAAUUUCAAUUUUCGGCUCCACACGAUGGCAGAGGAAAGAUUCAAUUGAUAGAAUCAUCGAUGGAAGUAUCGCGGUUCGGCGAUUACCCGGAGACGAUAAACUUCGGCAGCUCGCGGGACUCCGCCCGUUAAAAACGUACGGCCGAAAAGCACGACGCACCAUAACUGGGAUCCCGGUACGUUUUCGUAAUACACGGGUGCUCCGACGUCGACGUAGGACUCGACGUCGACGACGUCGGCGUCAAGCAGUCUCAUGGAGGCGCAGGCGCCGCUCGAUAAUUCCCCAUGCUACCGGUAAUCGCCAAAAACAGCUAUACGUAUAUGCAUGAAAUAUCCGCGUACAUCAGACGAACACCCAUCCACCUAUACAUCUGUUGGCAAUAUUUAAACAUUCGUGAGAAAUGAAAUGAGACGAUGCGCGGAUCUGGUCAAGAGAAAACCAACCGCAGAAUCAACCCCUGCGUGUCAUUUCUCCCGGCCCAACGGAGACGCUGAUACCUCAGAAUAUCGGCAGUGAGGUGGGUCCGGGACGUCGCGACGCGAUGCGUCCUCCGCAACGUCGUUACCAACAACCGCUCUCUCGCAUUUUCUUUCUUAUUUGUUCCUUUUAUUUCGAUAGAUAACAUUUUUCGAAAUUUUUUUACAUGGCGUACGUUCACUGUGUACGCGAACUUGUUCAAAAGAAUCUGUUUCAGUUUUCGUCUUUAUAGAGAGCGAAUUACUCGAAAAAGUUUUUUUGACAAUCUUGUUAGACACGAAAAAUGAUUAAUCUGCAGUUUUAUAGUAUCGAAAUUUUUAUCUUCUUACUUCCUAUCUAUAUUAGAUUCCUUCGUGUGUGAGAGAAAGUCACAGAUUUCUUUGUUUCCGCAGAUACGUUUUCAGUCCAAUUACCCAAUCAGCUUUUUUAUUUUUUCGUUUAAGCGUAAUAAACCUAAUUAUUAUCGAGUCGUA
Athalia rosae (coleseed sawfly) is the source of this 996-nucleotide long non-coding RNA. RefSeq lists it as uncharacterized. The transcript is spliced from 2 exons. Lineage: Eukaryota; Metazoa; Arthropoda; Insecta; Hymenoptera; Athaliidae. The record is from RefSeq and is a predicted model, not a curated record.